Molecule: non-coding RNA, 240 nt
Organism: Paramuricea clavata
Lineage: Eukaryota; Metazoa; Cnidaria; Anthozoa; Malacalcyonacea; Plexauridae
Source: the annotation of a GenBank genome assembly
AAGUGCUACUACUAAAUUCUAACCAAUUUUCAAAUUUCGACACGUUGUAAUGCCGUUUCCUGACCAUCAGAUUUCUGUCAAAUCUUCCCCCAAAGUCCAGGAAAUGGCAUUUCAGAGACUCUAAAUUAAAAAAUUUUCCCGGGGGGCAUGCCCCCGGACCCCCCUAGACAAACCUCGCACCUGCGGCGCUCGGCUCGUGCCUUCGGCCCUCGUUUAUCAAGGGUAAUAUUAUAGAGGCGC